This 184-nucleotide ribosomal RNA is filed under the name uncultured bacterium. Its description in RNAcentral is "partial 16S ribosomal RNA". It matches the Rfam family "Bacterial small subunit ribosomal RNA", at positions 1318 to 1500 of the family's 1533-position model. The record is from RNAcentral.
GCAUGAAGUUGGAAUCGCUAGUAAUCGCGGAUCAGCAUGCCGCGGUGAAUACGUUCCCGGGCCUUGUACACACCGCCCGUCACACCAUGAGAGUCGGGAACACCCGAAGUCCGUAGCCUAACCGCAAGGGGGGGCGCGGCCGAAGGUGGGUUCGAUAAUUGGGGUGAAGUCGUAACAAGGUAAC